RNAcentral lists this transfer RNA (75 nucleotides) under Nanobdellota archaeon. Its description in RNAcentral is "tRNA-Arg". It matches the Rfam family "tRNA". From Rfam's summary of the family: Transfer RNA (tRNA) molecules are approximately 80 nucleotides in length. Their secondary structure includes four short double-helical elements and three loops (D, anti-codon, and T loops). The record is from RNAcentral. Lineage: Archaea; Nanobdellati; Nanobdellota.
GCAGUCGUAGCUCAGCUUGGAUAGAGCGAUUGCCUCCUAAGCAGUAGGUCGGGAGUUCGAAUCUCCUCGACUGCG